GGCUGAUGGAGGAAGAGGCUGACGGGUACCAAUGGCGGCGACUUUUCCCUCAUAUAUCCCCUUCUGAAGCAUUGUGUCAUGAUUUUCCUUAACCGAGGGAUCCGCCACGUCUUCCUGCACAGCCUGUGCAAAAGAAUACCACACGAGACUUCAAGAUCAAGACUGAGAUGAGGUUAAGAAAGAGAUGGACAGCACUGAGGAGUUAAAGUGGAUGAGACUGAGGUUACCAUCACAGCUCCUUGUCCUGCCCUGAGAGAUCAAGACAGAGAUGAGGUUAAGGAAUAGUAGAACGCUGAAGGUUUAGAGUGAACAAGACAGAGGUUACCAUCACAGCUCCUCCUUGUCCUGGCCUGAGAGUUUGACCACACAGCAGGACACUUGGUCUGGGGUUCUGGCACCAUGCAAGAAAUAUUAGUCAAGCAAUCCUUCAGUCAGUGCUUGUACUGGAGGGAAGGUUUAAAGGAUAUAAGUAUUCACUGUUUUUCUUAUAUAUUUCUAUGAUAAUUUUAUACUACUCCAGAGCUUAGUGUCUUAUGUAGUCAAGCAAUUCAAUAAUGAACUCUUGUACUGGAGGGAAGGUUAAGGAAGAGAAGUAUAUUUAUUUUCUUAUUCUUAUCUUAAUUCCAUACAUAACCCCAUAUCUUAGUGUCUUGUAUAGUCUUUUCAUUAUCAAGAAGGAAUCACCAUAAUUUUUACUGACCUUUUUCUUUCUUUAUCCAUCAAGUCGCUAUAUAUUCAGAGACUUCUUGUGACAGAGUAUUAUCCAUCCCCUGAUCUUGAUGAACAUUGACAUCCCUACCAUCACACUGCCUUUUAUUAUGGCCUCUCUGGUGAAGUGUUGAAAGAUUUGAACUUCUGACACCUCUUGAGAUUUUUUGUUAAUUCAGAAAAGGAGUCCGUUCAAGGGCAAAUAAAUAGAGAAAAUAAAACACCCCACUGACACCAUUCAUAGCCAGAUCCUUAUCCAAAAUAUUAUCAUUAGCCUCAGUCUUGAGUACAGUGAUUUUCCUCAUAACUUGGGUUCUCAAUUAUCUUUAUAUUUAUCCACCUUAUUUUUAUCCAUCUUGGCCCUCGUUUCUGUUCUUUUAAUGUCUUUCAGAAGCGGCGAGAAAGAGACAGCAGCAGGAAGAGGAGGGCAGGGGAUGUGUGAGGGUGACAGCAGGGCAAGAAGACAGCAAAGAGCCUAUGUAAUGGUAAGGUUCCAUGUAUAAGUCCCCUGUUGGGUGUGUCUGCCAAUCUGUACACAGCAUUCCAAUUAGUACUCAUUAGAUCAAGGCAGUAGGAUGGCAAGGGUUCCUAGUGAGGGUGGAAUUGCAUGAAGAAGUCUCCUGUUGGGUGUGUCUGCCAAUCUGUACACAGCAUUCCAAUUCAUACUCAUUGGAUCAAGGCAGUAGGGUGGCAAGGGUUCCUAGUGAGGGUGGAAUUGCAUGAAGAAAUCUCCUGUUGUGUGUGUCUGCCAAUCUGUACACAGCAUUCCAAUUAGUACUCAUUAGAUCAAGGCAGUAGGGUGGCAAGGGUUCCUAGUGAGGGUGGAAUUGCAUGAAGAAGUCUCCUGUUGGGUGUGUCUGCCAAUCUGUACACAGCAUUCCAUUUAGUACUCAUUAAGAUACAAGGGAACAAGUACUCUGGAAAACCUACGAAGUAAAUAUUUAAAGUCAGUCUGAUAUUUAAACAUUUUGAUAAUAGUAUGCCUUUUCUCGGUGUUCAGAUUUUGCCUUAGAGAAGAUGGAGGAAGUUAUUAAGUUUAUACCUUGUACCUUGGGAUGGUUUAUGUAAGUCUAGAGGCAUUAUUAUUGUAAGAGGCAAAUCAAGUAGAGAAAGAGGUAGAUUUUUAUUUAUUAUUAUUAUUUUUCUUACAGCAAAGGAGACAGUUCAAGGGCUAAAAAAAAAAAAAAAAAAGAAAAAAAAAAAAGACCGCUGCUUACUGCUCCUGAAUAGAGGUCAAAGGAGUGGCCAAAAAGAGAGGUCAAUUUCGGGAGGAGAGGCGUCCUGAUAUUUUUCUGGGUGAAUAUUAAUGGAACGGUGUGAGGGACAGGGCAUCAGGAAUAUAUAUUUUUUCCUUAGUGAGUAUAUAAUAGAAUUGUGCGAGGCAACAGCUUGUCGGAGAUAUAAAUGGAUAGAUAGAUAGAUAAACUUUUCCCCUAGUGAGUAAUAAUAGAAUGAUGUGAGGGGAAGGGCAUUGGAGAUAUAGAUUGAUCGAUAAUUUCCCUUAGUAAAUAAUGAUGAAAUGGUGUGAGGGAAACAGUGUGUCAGAGAUAUAGAUUUAUAGAUAAAUUUAGGCCAUCAGAGACAUAGACCAAUAUAAAUUUUUUCCUCAAUAUAAGGGAAUGACGUGUAUGAAUUGGCACAUCAGUAGAGUAGAGAACCACCAGUAUAUUUCACCUUCUGUAACCAGUAUAUCCCCACCACUACCAAGUCAAGCCUCUCAUUUUUUUUACUCUGCAACAUUCUUCCCCACUAUACUACAUUCCCUAAGCCUUAUCUUCCCUUCUAUGACUCCUCCACCACCCUGCCAGCCCUCCCAUCUCACAAGUGCAGUAGGGCAGUGUUUGUUUCAGGGCCAAGACUUGCAAGGGAGCACAGGUGGAGGUGUUGGUCUGGAUAAGCUGACAGGCCAUUGUUACUCUUGAUGCCUGGCUGAGUGUGUUAAUGUUCUGUUAGGGAGGAGAGGAAAGUCACAGUGAUGGAGUUACCCAGUGAAGAUCUUGUACUGAUGUGGGGAAGCAAGUGUUGAGUGAAUGCUAGUAAGGACAUGAUGUUUUUAAAUGUAUAUACGAGGUGUUCAGAAUCAAAGGAGGAUCCACACCUUUGUUACGGUUUUGGGUUAUGGGUAGUGUCAUACAGGUGUUACCCUCCUCUAUGAAACAGUACAGGUAGCCAAGGGAAAAUGGACCAUAUGGAGAGUGUACUGAGGGAUCAAAACAGACCGACAAAACAAUAAAAACAAAAGUAAGGAAAAAUUCAGUAAUCAUCUCGAAACUCACUAUUGCCGCGGAUGUCCCCCUUGGUUCUAGACACCUCAUACUCUUGGCGCGGAUAUCCCCCUUGGUUCUAGACGCCUCAUAUAGUGCGUUAUAACAGUACACCGGGCACCCAACCUAGCAAGACAGUAAUGAUGAAGAAUACUGCCACAUCUGUUCCUUUUGCUUGCUUGUGUCAGUGCAGUAGGUCAGUUAUCAGUCUUUGGAGUGGUGUCACGUCCUCCUGGUCAUAGCCAACACACACCCUUAACUCGGUAGCUGCGGGGAUCAUGUUUCUUAAUGGUCCCUCUAAGUGAGAAAAAUUCAUCACUCACGCAAACCAUUUCAUGAGGUAUAUCAACGCAUUUGUGAUCAGUUUAUGCAUCUCUUUUGGGGGGUUUAUAUCAUCACAAAAAUUUGGCCCGUCGCUGGUACACGGUAAAGCCACAAAUUUGGCCCGUCGCUGCUACUGGGUUAAUGCAUUUGUAGCCUGUGUUGUGAGUGGUUGUAGUUGUCUUGUUGGUCAAUGCCUCCUGUUUCUCUCUUCUGUCACAAGUUACCUCAGUGUUGGGGUCUGGACUACAGUUAGUAUGGGUAAGGAAAAGUCUUUGUAGCCUGACCCAUGGCACAGGUCACUGAACUACACAAGGAAAUCUUUGGGCAAGUUUGUGUUUGUAAUUGGGUGAAGUGUUUCAAAGAUGUCAGUGGUGUAAAUAUGUCUAUUCCCAAACCAUGUCCUGUUUUGCCCAAUAAGUCUUCCCCUAGGAGUCUGACAGUUCUCAUAAAAGAGCUUUAAGCUAUCAUCUCUCUUGAAAACUGUCAGACACUUCAGGGGAGACUUUGGUCUUAUGAGGACAUGUUUUGGGUGUCGGCAUACUCACAUCACUGCAUGUCCGAUAUGCCUCACCCAGCUCCACACAGAACAAUAAAAAACACCAACUUGUUGCAUGAUUUCCUUGUGUAGUCCAAUACUUAUUCUUACUCAUAAUUGUAGUCCAGACUCCAAUGCCAGAACAACUUGUGAUGGACGGUAGAGAGGGAGAGGAGGCACUGACCAACAAGACUUAUUCACUCUCAACGCAACCCACAAGAGCACUGAGGGUGCGAGUUGGCUGUGCGCCAGAGGACGUGACACCACCCCAAUGACUGAUAACCGACACGAUGCACAGGGGCAAGGAAAUAAAAGGAACAGAUAUGGCCUUACUUUCGUCAUUACUGUCUCGCUAUGUUGUAUGUCUGCCUUACUUCUGUGACAUACUAUACAGCCUUUAACUACCAUUACUACAUGUCUUUUCUCCAGUAAUAUGGGCAGGGAAUAUAAUGAAAGCUGUACAGGAGUUACCAUAUAACAAAGACUUAUGCAAACUCCCAGUCCAGACUACUAAAGGAAAGACAUGAAGGCUAGUACUGUAUAUACUCUUUAAUCAAUCUGUUCUUGUCCCCAUUUCUCUCAACAUGGCUUCCUCAGUACAGUACAGAAAUCCUAGGGUGAAUAAAAACUCCAUCACUAGUUUUCCUUUCCUCUCCUCACCAGCAGGAAGGAGUAACACUGGUCUGUCAGCCUCCCUAGACCAACACUCUCUUCUCUGGCGCUAACCUGCAAGUCUUGACUGGAAACGAAGAAUGUCCCGGGCACUUGUGAAAUGGGAGGGUUGGCUGGAGGGGACGGGGGAGCCAUAGAAGGAAAGAGAUUGCUGUAUAUAGAAGGAUGCAGGAUAGUGGGAAAGAAUGGGGAGAGUAUAUAUAUAGUAGUAGCAGAGAACAGAGAAAACUAGUCAAGCAAUGUAAGUAGGGAAUGAAAAUGCAGAAAUAACCCAGUUGCCUUUAUUUUCAAGUCUCACAUUCUUCUCUAUUCUCUCUCUCUCCCUCUUUUUUCUUGGUGUCUUCAAGUAACCUGUCUGGGAAUAACAUUUUGUCAUCUUCUCUCCCCCUUGUAUUGACUGUAGGGAGGGAACGGUGAUGUACCCACCUCCCUUAUGGUGUUCUCUCCUUCCUCCCCCUCACUGCUACACCACAAGGGGAGGCAGUGCAUGCUCCCCUCCACCUCAUAGCCAGCACAGAGAGGAUUGAGAAAUUUUGUAGACUGGAAAGGAAGCGGUCGUAUAUUAACCUAUUCUCUGUGUUUCUUGCUUACACUAGAAGACUAAGCUGUUUUUUUAAAGUUUGUCACAGAUUUGAGAGUAGGAUUGAUCAGCCAGUCUCCUCUCUUGCCUCACCACAUUGCAAGUUCUCUGUAGUUCCUCUGUGAUGUGUAAUAGUUUUUUUUGUUUCUUCAUCAGUGGACAGUAAGUAUAGUAUCAAAGUGGAUUAGGACUGUUGUAAAGAAAGUUCAAAUUAACUAAAAAUAAAAAGUUAAGCUAGUAAAAGUCAAAGGCAGGGCCAUUAACCCGGUAGCAGCAACGGGCCAAAUUUGUGCCAUGAUAUAAACCCCAAAAAAUAGAUGAUACAUAAACUGAUCACAAAUGCUUUGAUAUAUAUUAUGAAAUGGUUUGUAUGAGUGAUGAUAGUUUCUCAUUUUUCCGCUUAGAGGGACCAUUAAGAAACGUGAUCCCCGCUGCUACUGGGUUAAUGUUUAUACUAGUUUGUUUUGUGCUUAUCUCAUCAUGGAAUUACAAAGCUGCUGUUCAGAUAAAUAAUGAUGCGAGAUUCUCCUGUACAUUAUCACAUUUUAGAAAUCUCGGGAAGCCAAGUUAAUUUUUAUACAUAGCUGUAGGCAUUAGACAACAGCAACCCCACAACUUACAUAUAGUGUGUGUCCCUACGUUGUCAAGUUACUGUUCGUUUCCUACAAUUUUGUAUUCAGUAGUUUGCUUCCCAGGUCAUCUAAAAUCUGUUACCAUUGUUAUAUCCAGGAGAAUUUUUUGUGACAUUGUAUUAUCUAUUUUUCCAGUAGCAAAAUUAAUUCCAUGAAGAAAUGAGCAUUGAAUAGGAAACAGUAUAAGCAUUUUUACAACCCCGUCUUUAAAUUUUACUUGCAUUAUCUCACUAGUUUCUUGUUAAUUUAAAGGCUUUUCCAACACAGUCCUAACCCAUUACUAUUCUUCUAUCCAAUGCUGAAGAAACAAUGUAAGUACCACAAGACUUGAGCUACAGGGAACUUAAGACAAACUUGUUGUGUGGAGAGGCCGGUCCUAGGAGGUGCGGGAGACUGGUUGACCGUCACUUCCCAAACAGCGACAACCCAAGAAAGGAAAGUUAAGUCUCCUAUAGCAAGCUAGAGACACCCAGAGCAUAGCAAGGCUCCUCAAAGUGCUCACACAUUAUAAAGACUUUCCGUAUAGUAAAAAAAUUAAGAACUAAUCUGUAUAAAAUAAAGAACUAAUCUCUAUAGUAAAAAAAUUAAAGAACUAAUCUGUAUAGUAAAUUAAAGAACUAAUCUACAGUAAAAAAAUUAAAGAACUAAUUCGUAUAUUAAAAAAUUAAAGAACUGAUUCGUAUAGUAAGAAAUUAAAUAACUAAUCCAUAUUAAGUCACAGGAGAACUACUCACAAAUAUAUAAGAUUGAUUCAAAUUGCAAAAGAUCUAAACAACUUCAUAUGACUUACAUUUGUGAGUUAAAAUAUCUUAGCAUUAAAUUUAAAUUGCAAAUGAGCCCUCAGAACCAAAACUGUAUUAGACUCAAGUGACUUCUGUAACUGUUUAAUGGACUAUCAAGUGUAAUUUUAGAAAGUCCUUUACGUUGAGCUAUGAAUAUUAAGUCCUAUCUGUGUGGACCAUUUGAGGAGCCCCAUGCCAUUAACCCAGUAGCAGCAACAGGCCAAAUUUGUGCCAUGAUUUAACCACCCCAAAAUAGAUAAUACAUAAAAUGAUCACAAAUGCUUUGAUAUAUAUUAUGAAAUGGUUUGUGUGAGUGAUGAUUUUUUCUCGCUUAGAGGUACCAUUAAGAAACACGAUCCUCGCUGCUACCGGGUUAACCUCUCAAGUGAGCAGAGACCUUGGUGUGUGUGUAGAUCUUCAGCCUCCUCUUCAUUACGUUGGUCUUCUCAGUCCUGUAAGUAGUUGUGGUAUCCAGUGUUGGGGUGUCUAGUUCAGUCCUUGCCUUGGUUGCAGUGGUGGUGGUUGUUUUCAGGUGUGAGCAGAGACCUUGGUGUGUGUAUAGGUCUUCAGCCUCCUCUUCAUUACGUUGGUCUUCUCAGUCCUGUAAGUAGUUGUGGUAUCCAGUGUUGGGGUGUCUAGUUCAGUCCUUGCCUUGGUUGCAGUGGUGGUGGUUGUUUUCAGGUGUGAGCAGAGACCUUGGUGUGUGUGUAGGUCUUCAGCCUCCUCUUCAUUACGUUGAUCUUCUCAGUCCUGUAAGUAGUUGUGGUAUCCAGUGUUGGGGUGUCUAGUUCAGUCCUUGCCUUGGUUGCAGUGGUAGUGGUUUUCAAGUCUGCUUACAUUCAUGGUAGUCAGGCUUACUAAGGUCUUGUUCCUCCUCAAAGCUGUGGUUCCUCCUCUCUCUUCACUUCUUCAGUCUUGCCUUGCCUUGGCUUGGCCUGAAAAAGAGAGCGAGUUAGUUCUAUAUAGACUAAGGAUUAACCACCAGCAAACCUCACACUUGUUAUUUCUCUGUACUCACUUUUGGGGACAUGGCUUGUAACAUUGAUUUAUCUAGGCUCAUUAACUAUCCAUCAUUAACUUACCUAGGCCUAUUAACAUGAUUUCUUGUCCUGUCAAAGUCUACUGCCAUAAAGAAAAUAAAGUUUGAUGCACA
Long non-coding RNA from Eriocheir sinensis (Chinese mitten crab), 7650 nucleotides. RefSeq lists it as uncharacterized. The record is from RefSeq and is a predicted model, not a curated record. The transcript has 2 exons. NCBI's taxonomy places the organism in Eukaryota, Metazoa, Arthropoda, Malacostraca, Decapoda, Varunidae.